AUUGAACGCUGGCGGCAUGCUUUACACAUGCAAGUCGAACGGCAGCGCGGGCUUCGGCCUGGCGGCGAGUGGCGAACGGGUGAGUAAUACAUCGGAACGUGCCCAGUAGUGGGGGAUAGCUCGGCGAAAGCCGGACUAAUACCGCAUACGACCUGAGGGUGAAAGCGGGGGAUCUUCGGACCUCGCGCUAUUGGAGCGGCCGAUGGCAGAUUAGCUAGUUGGUGGGGUAAAGGCCUACCAAGGCGACGAUCUGUAGCUGGUCUGAGAGGACGACCAGCCACACUGGGACUGAGACACGGCCCAGACUCCUACGGGAGGCAGCAGUGGGGAAUUUUGGACAAUGGGCGGAAGCCUGGUCCAGCAAUGCCGCGUGUGUGAUGAAGGCCUUCGGGUUGUAAAGCACUUUUGGCGGGAACGAAAAGGACUGGGCCAAUACCACGGUUCGAUGACGGUACCCGCAGAAUAAGCACCGGCUAACUACGUG
RNAcentral lists this ribosomal RNA (484 nucleotides) under uncultured bacterium. Its description in RNAcentral is "partial 16S ribosomal RNA". It matches the Rfam family "Bacterial small subunit ribosomal RNA", at positions 29 to 507 of the family's 1533-position model. The record is from RNAcentral.